AGGCAGCAGGCACGCAAAUUACCCACUCCCGGCACGGGGAGGUAGUGACAAAAAAUAACGAUACGGGACUCUAUUGAGGCCCCGUAAUCGGAAUGAGUACACUUUAAAUCCUUUAACAAGGAUCCAUUGGAGGGCAAGUCUGGUGCCAGCAGCCGCGGUAAUUCCAGCUCCAAUAGCGUAUAUUAAAGUUGUUGCGGUUAAAAAGCUCGUAGUUGGUUCUGCGUGCCGCGCUGUCGGUUCGCCGCCUGUCGGUGUAACUGGCAUGUCGCGGCAUGUCCUGUCGGUGGUGAACGGGGUCCCCGGUGCUGCUGACGGCUUUUAGCCAAAGUUAGUGCCGUGUGUGUUCUCGUUUGCCGAUCUCUCCUACUCCGGUGCUCUUAAACGAGUGUCGAGGUAGGCCGACACGUUCACUUUGAACAAAUUAGAGUGCUUAAAGCAGGCUGAAAUAUCUGCCUGAAUAGUGGUGCAUGGAAUGAUAAAAUAGGACCUCGGUUCUAUUUUGUUGGUUUUAGGAAUAUGAGGUAAUGAUCAAUGUGGACAGGCGGGGGCAUUCGUA
This 556-nucleotide ribosomal RNA is filed under the name Ploiaria gundlachi. RNAcentral describes it as "SSU rRNA". It matches the Rfam family "Eukaryotic small subunit ribosomal RNA", at positions 423 to 896 of the family's 1831-position model. The record is from RNAcentral. Lineage: Eukaryota; Metazoa; Arthropoda; Insecta; Hemiptera; Reduviidae.